This 473-nucleotide ribosomal RNA is filed under the name uncultured Alteromonadaceae bacterium. RNAcentral describes it as "bacterial SSU rRNA". It matches the Rfam family "Bacterial small subunit ribosomal RNA", at positions 916 to 1381 of the family's 1533-position model. Lineage: Bacteria; Pseudomonadati; Pseudomonadota; Gammaproteobacteria; Alteromonadales; Alteromonadaceae. The record is from RNAcentral.
ACGGGGCCCGCACAAGCGGUGGAGCAUGUGGUUUAAUUCGAAGCAACGCGAAGAACCUUACCAGGUCUUGACAUCCCCUGACAACCCGAGAGAUCGGGCGUUCCCCCUUCGGGGGGACAGGGUGACAGGGUGGUGCAUGGUUUGUCGUCAGCUCGUGUCGUGAGAUGUUGGGUUAAGUCCCGUAACGAGCGCAACCCUUGUCCUUAGUUGCCAGCGGUUCGGCCGGGAACUCUAAGGAGACUGCCGGUGAUAAACCGGAGGAAGGUGGGACGACGUCAAGUCAUCAUGGCCCUUAUGGGCAGGGCUACACACGUGCUACAAUGGCCAGUACAGAAGGUUGCCAACCCGCGAGGGGGAGCUGAUCCUGAAAAGCUGGUCGUAGUCCGGAUCGCAGUCUGCAACUCGACUGCGUGAAGUCGGAAUCGCUAGUAAUCGCGAAUCAGCAUGUCGCGGUGAAUACGUUCCCGGGCCUU